GGGGCCAUAGCUCAGUUGGGAGAGCGCGACACUGGCAGUGUCGAGGUCAUCGGUUCGAUCCCGUUUGGCUCCACCA
Molecule: transfer RNA, 76 nt
Filed under: Moritella yayanosii
Lineage: Bacteria; Pseudomonadati; Pseudomonadota; Gammaproteobacteria; Alteromonadales; Moritellaceae
Also listed under: 13 other names
Description: tRNA-Ala
Rfam family: tRNA
About the family: Transfer RNA (tRNA) molecules are approximately 80 nucleotides in length. Their secondary structure includes four short double-helical elements and three loops (D, anti-codon, and T loops).
Source: RNAcentral